RNAcentral lists this unclassified non-coding RNA (314 nucleotides) under plant metagenome. RNAcentral describes it as "partial contains 5.8S ribosomal RNA, internal transcribed spacer 2, and large subunit ribosomal RNA". The stretch from base 1 to 105 matches the Rfam family "5.8S ribosomal RNA", at positions 50 to 154 of the family's 154-position model. The record is from RNAcentral.
GAAAUGCGAUAAUUAAUGUGAAUUGCAGAAUUCAGUGAAUCAUCGAGUCUUUGAACGCACAUUGCGCCCCCUGGUAUUCCGGGGGGCAUGCCUGUCCGAGCGUCAUUGCUGCCCUCAAGCACGGCUUGUGUGUUGGGCUUCCGUCCCUGGCAACGGGGACGGGCCCAAAAGGCAGUGGCGGCACCAUGUAUGGUCCUCGAGCGUAUGGGGCUUUGUCACCCGCUCCCGUAGGUCCAGCUGGCAGCUAGCCUCGCAACCAAUCUUUUUAACCAGGUUGACCUCGGAUCAGGUAGGGAUACCCGCUGAACUUAAGC